CGAGUCGGCCAGGCAGUCGCUGGCACCAUGAGCGAUAUUCGCAUGUGGCGCGAGAGGAAAGUCCGGGCUCCAUAGGGCAAGGUGCCAGGUAACACCUGGGGGGCGUGAGCCCAUGGAAAGUGCAGCAGAGAGUAGACCGCCUAAGGUGCGUCGCAUUGCGGCGUAAACGGCAAGGGUGAAAGGGUGCGGUAAGAGCGCACCGCGUGCGUGGUAACACGGCAUGGCUAGGUAAACCCCGCCUGGAGCAAGGCCAAAUAGGAAUCCUACGAUGUGGCCCGCAUCGGAUUCGGGUAGGCCGCCAGAGGCGUUUGGUGACAGACGUCCUAGAUGAAUGACUGCCGACAACGGUGCUUGCGCCGUUGUGACAGAACCCGGCUUAUCGGCCGACUCAACUG
Molecule: RNase P RNA, 395 nt
Filed under: Gammaproteobacteria bacterium
Lineage: Bacteria; Pseudomonadati; Pseudomonadota; Gammaproteobacteria
Description: RNase P RNA component class A
Rfam family: Bacterial RNase P class A
About the family: Ribonuclease P (RNase P) is a ubiquitous endoribonuclease, found in archaea, bacteria and eukarya as well as chloroplasts and mitochondria. Its best characterised activity is the generation of mature 5'-ends of tRNAs by cleaving the 5'-leader elements of precursor-tRNAs. Cellular RNase Ps are ribonucleoproteins.
Source: RNAcentral